RNAcentral lists this long non-coding RNA (1158 nucleotides) under Anas zonorhyncha (Eastern spot-billed duck). RNAcentral describes it as "lncRNA (ENSAZOG00000004605.1)". Lineage: Eukaryota; Metazoa; Chordata; Aves; Anseriformes; Anatidae. The record is from RNAcentral.
AUGGUCUCCAGCAUCCCUCAGAAUAAGCAGAGACAAGGAUUUGUUACCCGUACAUCUCACGAUAUGGGGCGGAGGGGCUGGGGGUGCACACCUGAGCGGGGCUCGCAGUCCCCGUGCUGGUUGCAGGCGCAGGGCACGCAGGCGACGAAGGGGCCACCGAAGGGGACAUCCCGCUUGAAGCCGGGAGCGCAGGACUGGCAGAACUGCCCGUUGUAUCCCGGGGGACACGCACACUCCUCCACCCAGCCCGCCUGCACACCCGGCCCGGGGCGAGCCGACGUGAGCCGCACCUCGCUCAGCACCAGCCUGCCUGCGAGAGGGGACAGCAGCGUGAGGCCAGGAUGGCACAGCCCCAGCCCCGUCUCUCCAUGCUGCAUAGAAAUACUCCAGACUCCCAUGGGAAACCCCAAAAUAUCCCUGUGGGUGCCUCUUGUCCCUGUUUCAGUGCUGUUCUGCUGUCUCCAGCCCAGCCCAGUCCCCACAGGACACCCAAGGAGCCACCCACCUGGCCCGGCGCUCACGCGGAGGCGGAGGGCGCUCAGGUUGGAGAGCAGGCGCUGGAAGCUGAAGGCCGACAGCGAAGGCUCCGUGCCCUCCUCAGCCUCAUGUAGCCUGUUGGAGAGGAGUGUGGGAGGAAGGACAGCCAGAGGGACAGCUUCCCCCCGCAGGACAGCUCAGACCCCCACUGAUGGGGCACACGGUGAAACCCCCAGGGGGUCUGGGAGUGGAGCUGAACCCCCAGCACAAGGUAGCCCUGGCAAGAUCCCCAAGUGUCCCCUAAGUCACCCGAGAAUCCCCAAAGCACCACAACAGGUACCUGAAGGUGACAGCCUGCUUUCCAUCCCGUGGCUGGCUCUCACUGCUGGACAUGGUGACCUCCAUCCCCUCGCCCUCCAGCACCAGCUGGACGCGGAGCUGGGGCACCCUGCUCUCUGUCCCAGUCCCGUUCCCCUCUGCUCCCAGCAGCAGGGUCAGGGGCUGCCCGUAGCUGAGGUGCUGGUUCUGCAGAAACUUCUCUGCAAGAGGAAAGAGGAGGAAAAUCUGAAGGGCGUGGAUGUACCCAUGUGGAUGUACCCGCGACGUGCCCAUGAUGCCGGGUGGGAACAGUUCAGGAGCCCCUGGCACACUUCUGUUCCCACCAGAAUCAACAGGAGGUGA